This 9696-nucleotide long non-coding RNA is filed under the name Homo sapiens (human). Its description in RNAcentral is "long non-coding RNA NONHSAT173824.1". Lineage: Eukaryota; Metazoa; Chordata; Mammalia; Primates; Hominidae. The record is from RNAcentral.
CUCCAAGCUGCAGCCAGAAUUAUUUUUUUUUAAAGAAAAUACAAUUUUGUAGCUCUCUUCCAUAAAACCUUUCAAAGCUGCGCUGCUUAAUGCAGUAGUCAUUAGCCACGUGUGACUAUUUAGAUUUAAAUUAAUUAAAAUGAAAUAAAAUUAAACAUUCAGUUCCUCCAUUGCACUAGCCACAUUUCAAAUGUUCAAUAGUCAUGCAGCUAAUAUAGGACAGCCCAGAUGACAGAACACAGAAACUUUUCAUAGGAUAAUGCUGCCUCAAAAGCUUCCCAUUGCAUUUGGAUAAAGCCAAAAUUCUUUGCGAGGUCUACAUGGCCAACCUGAUUAAAUCUGAGCUCCUUUUCCAAACUUCUUGCCUGUCUCUUCCUCCACCAUCACCAACUCCAGGCACACUGGGCUUCUUCUCAUUUCCUCACACAAACCAAGGUCUUUGCUCUCUCAGGGCCUGACUUAAGGUGCUCCAUCUGCCUUGAACAUUUCCCCCAUUCCCUGUCUCACUAACUCCCACUCACCUUUCAGACUUCAACUUAAACAUCACUUCCCCCAAAAGGCCUUUCUUACCUCCCCAAACCAAAUAAUUAGACUAUUAUUAUAACCUGUUUUUGCAUCCUCUUUUUCUUCUUUUGUGUUAUUUAUCGUACCCACAAUGGUGAUAUAUUUAUUUGGUGAUAUUUAAUAUAUAUCUCUCUAACACGGUUAGGAGAGAGACCCUAAUUUUUUGUUCACCAUUGUAUCUCUGUUACCGAACCAAACUUGGAUCCACUCACUCAGCACGCAGAAAAAGGCAAACAACAAUACUAGGAUUUGCAGUGAGAGAAAUUGAGAUGUUUAUUGCAGGGUACUAAGCAAGGAGAAGUGGGCAGCUAACACCAUCUGAACUCCUCAAUGGAUUAUAAGGGAGGGUUUUUAAAGGCAGAGUUACGUUUUAGGAAAAUAGAAGUUACAGGCAAAAUCAUGAAUCAAUACAGGGAGAUUAUAUAUUGCUUUGGCCUAGAAAGGCAGGAUAUCUUGAAGCAGGGGCUUACAGUUCAGAGUGAGAGGUAAAGCUGGCUGGGCUUCUGGGUCGGGUGGGGACUUGGAGAACUUUUCUGUCUAGCUAAAGGAUUGUAAACUCACCAAUCAGCACUCUGUAAAAACGGACUGGUCAGCACUCUGCAAGAUGGACCAAUCAACACUGUAAAAUGGACCAGUCAGCAGGACGUGGGCGGGGCCAAAUAAGGGAAUAAAAGCUGGCCACCUGGGGGAGCAGCGGCAAGCAGCUUAGGUGCCUUUCCACGAUGUGGAAGCUUUGUUCUUAGCAAUAAAUCUUGCUGCUGCUUAUUCUUUGGGUCUGCACUACCUUUAUGACUGUAACACUCACCGCGAAGGUCUGCAGCUUCACUCCUGCAGUCAGCGAGACCAGCAACCCACCGGGAGGAGCAAAGCGUGCCAGAAGUGUGCCACGUUUAAGAGCUGUAACACUCACUGCGAAAGUCUGCGGCUUCAUUCCUGAAGUCAGCAAGACCAUGAACCCACCAGGAGGAAGGAACAACUCUGCACGUGCCAUCUUUGAGAGCUGUAACAUUCACUGAGAAGGUCUGCAGCUUCACUCCUGAAGUCAGCAAGACCAAGGACCCAUCAGAAGAAAAAAACUUGGGACACAUCUGAACAUCUGAAGGAACAAACUCCCGACACACCAUCUUUAAGAACUGUAACACUCACCACGAGGGUCCGCGGCUUCAUUCUUGAAGUCAGCGAGACCAAGAACCCACGGAAGGAACCAAUUCCGGACACAAGAGGUAGAUUUAGAGAUUUUUUUUAUUUGCAAUUGGUUAAGGAAGUAAGACUUUGUAUAAAACCUUGAGGCAAGCAGAAAGGAAUGUUAAGGUUUGGCCUGUGGGCAUGACUCUCCAGGCCUCUCAAAAAGAAAUUGCAACAGAGGACAGUAGUCAGAAUCUAAGUCCUCAGUUUUUGCUUAUCUCUGGUCUUUGUGUCAGUGGUCAGAAUUUUUCAUCUGGUGGAGGUGUGGGGGUCCUGGUUUCUGAAAAACAACUCAGGGACAUAUAUCCAGAUGUUAUCUUUAGCUUUUAUAGGGAACCAAACAUCUUGUGAAUCUGGCUUCCUUGGGUGGCUAUUGUUUACAUUAUUAUUCUUUUUGUUUAGUGGGUUCUUUAUUUGCUUUUUAAAUUGCUAGUUGGCCGGCUAUCUAGGUGCUUAGAAUUUGUGUUGAGGGGAUCAGAGAGGAGCCCGACAGGCCCAUAAGAGGGGUCCCUGUUCCAUCUCAUCUCUAGUGCCUAGCAUAGCACCUGGCACAAAAAACCACUCAAAGAUUAUUUAAUGAAUGAAAAAAAGAGUGAUUUUAUAGCUAUCUAAUACUGUAAUCUACAGGCUUUUGCAGGAAUUCGGCUGUGUGUGAUGUGAGUAGCAGAAAUCAGGAAAAACGGUUUUCAACGCAUCUUUCUACUUUACCGCUUCUUAACUCUGAGUCCCUGUCUUCAAGGAAAUAUUUUCUAUUGAGGCAGUCCAAGAAAAGGCAUUUUCUCUAGUCUUUUGACUUCAUAAUCCAGUAUCAGUUCCUCAUCUGUGAAAUGGGAAUACGUUCUCACUGCCUCAUGACUGGAGCUGUACUAGCAGAUCUCCUGAGAGCCAUUCCUGUUCCAAUAUAUAAUAGUAUGACCCUGUCUAGGGGAGGCUGGUUCCCCCCACUGGCAAAUUUGAAACUUAAGUAGCCUACUACAGAGGCUAAUUGCACAGGAAAUGUAAUUCCCAGAUCAUCAACUUCCUCCCUUCUCAUGUUUCUGCUACUAGGCUGCCAUUAACACUUAGCUUGAAAAUGGCCUAAUAGUAUCAAGAAAGAAAAGAGAACAAGAAGAAACCGAAUACCUGAAACACCCGUAAUCUGGAUCAUGUGCUAUCAAAAAGGGAUAGUUGAUGUUGCUCACCAGAGAGCAGGCGUGAAUUGGAGUCAUUGCCACACAACCUGAUGGGUAAAAUUAACCAUCUCUCUUGCCACGAAUCCCUCUCCACAGGAGAGAGAAGACUCAUCGGUCUCCUACUUAGAUUCAUAAAACAGUAGAGCUGGAGGGGACAUUAGCAGUUCUCAUGUCCAAGCAUGAAUGUUCGCAUUUGCAGAAGCGAGCCAGGCUCUCAGGACACCAUCCCGGGUCUCCACACUUGCAGCUCAGAGCAUUGCCACAGCACCAGGUAACAGGUGGUGAGAGCUGAGUUCAUAUUGUGUUUCUUUAUUGCCUCCCAGACCCAAGGUUGCCCCAUCAAGAGUGACAGGCUAGGUGUAUGCGAUCACGAUGCUGUCAUACAGGUGUCAGAAGGAAGCUUCCAUCUACAUUCACCCUGAGGGCCUGACAUUUGAGUCUUGCUUUAGAUCAAAUCAGAGAGUCAGAGGUGCUCCAUUCUUAAACCACGUGCCUACAUCAGGCCAUGAGUCAGUAAGACCUCUCAUACUCUAGGACUGAUUCUUUCAUUCCAAAUGAGUGAGGGCACAGGAUUACCAUUCCAUCAUAAAUUUCCUCCAUCUUGGCAUAUUUAAUGCAGAGACCAAGUCCUUUCCUCUAUGCCUUCAAGACUCUGUCUUGAUCCAGGUCCCAGGGCAGGAAAGUGGCUCUCUUAUAUCACCAUAUCCAUCCAACAGGAACUGGACAAUUGCAAUUCAGCCGGUCUCCCACUUGCAGAAAGAAUAGCUGACAAAAAGACAUGUCAUUCUUUUUCUGCCUCUCCUGGGUGAAUCAAGUUAGGCAUUGGGGCUGGGGAAAGGAAUAGCUGGAGUAUGGGGAAAUAAAAAUUGGAAUAACUUCCCUACUGAGGUCUCAUUCAGACUGCAAACAAUACUGAUACAGCACAGAAAAUUAUUAAAGUUCCAGAGUACCCAAAAUAUGGUUUGGAAAUCAUGAAAGGAGGACCACAGAUCAGAGUUUCCAGAGGUGAAAAGUCACUGAUGAACCAUUCUCCUCUGUCUCCCCACACCCGUCUCUCUCUCAUACACCUGAAGUUACUUUCACAGUACGCUAAAAACCUAGAAAAUGGCUGCUCCAAUGAAGAAUUCUGAGCAUUUUCUCAAAAGAAAUACAUUGGGAUUCAUGAGUUAUUCAGAAGAAGUAAGAAGAUUAAAUUAAUGUGGCCAACACAAAUUCUGUUCUACCUGCCAAGGUCAUGAGUUAUAAACAGACAAGUUGCAUCCUUUAUUCUGCUACAUAAACAGUGGCUUCUCUCCAGAUUUCCUGCUGUUGGCUUCUGAGAACCAUUGCCUGGGCUGCCAGCAGGGCUGCUAAUUGGAUAGUUGAGCAGGUUUUUUCCUAAAAGUCAGGACAACAUGGUGAAACUGGGCACAUUGCCGCAGCUCCCCUAGCAUCCUUUUGGAAAGCUUGCUCUUCUUCGCAUAAAUGAAACUUGCAAGGCAUAGUAGACAGAAGGCUGAAGGUCAAAUGAUAAAUUCUGAGUGCUAAAACAUGCUUUACUAACUCAACUUCCAUGUCCCACUGUGCCUCUGCUUAUACAAGGCAAAGCUCUGGGGGUAAAGAGCAAAGAUGCACAGACUCAGAGAGAGAUGCAGGUUGCGGUCAAGAUUGAGGGAAAAAUGGUCACUGGCUGGGGACUAGUUACUAUUGGUUGAACAUCUACAAUGUGCCAGGUAUAGAUAGAUGGAAAGGUAGAUAGGUGGAUAAAUAUAGAGACAGAGAUAGAUAGAAGAUACGUAUAGACAGCUAAAUAUAGCUAGCUAGAUAUAGAUAGAUGAUAGAUAAUAGAGAGGGAUAGCUAGAUGAUAGAUAGUGAUAGAUGAUAGAUAAAUGAUAGAGAUAGUAGAAAGAUAUAGAUGAUAGAUGAUAGAUAUUUAGUUUCACAUAUAAUGUGUAUAGAUAUGUGUGUAUAGGCACAUAUGCUUGUAUAUGCAUAUGUAUCUUAAAGAUAUAUAUAGAUAGAUAGAUAUAGAUAGAUAGAUAUCUUUCCUUUACUGAUGAGAAAAUCAAAGCUCAGAAACGUUGAAUAAGUGUAUUGGUUUGUUCCCAAAACAACUUGAGACAAAGACUUGAGCACAGGUAGUUUAUGUGGAGGUGACCCCAAUAAGUGAGAGAGAGGGGGUGGGAAGAGUGAUACAAAAGAAGGAAGAGUCAACACAAACCACAUCAUUGAGCUGACCAUUGCUGUGGGCAGCUAGGCUCAAUCCCACUGGAUACUCUCUAGGAAACAGUGUAGAAUAUGCUUCAGAAUUGCCCCUUCAAAGGAUGAGAAGCCAGGCAUCAAUCCCCUGCAUUUCUGGGCUGCACCCGUGUGAUACUGUAAUUUACAAUAAGAGAUGUAUACAUAUAUUGGUCUUCUUCCAUGAUUCCUGACACAGAGCUUCCAGAAUUCUCUCUUAAACCUUAAGAAUUUCUGGCAUGGGGAAAAUGUUGAAUUGUCUCCACUAAGGCUUGACAUCUUCCCCAAGGCAAGAACCUGUGGGAAUGGGCUACAGGAUGGUUGCCUAGAAAGUCCAGGCUGUCCUGACACUGCUUAUGCCCAAACCCAGAAAAAUAACACAACAGAGCGCAAAGAGUAUGAGAUCUGGAGUUGGGCAGGUCACUCUAGCACGUUUCUGUGGCCUGGCAUCAUUUCCACUCAGCCCACCUGUGAUUUCAGCUGCAGUUACGGAGAAAAGUUCCAUACACAUGAGCGUUUCCCUCAAAGGCCAGCUGAAUCUUAACCUAUCAGCUUCCCUGCCUCAGAUCUUCUCCAAAGGUGGGGAUCCUCUCUCAGUUCACAUGCAGGUUAUGUGAUAGAAAAUCAAAUCAAUUACAGAGUAAGAAAAACAUUUUUUCCUACUACUGUAUACUCUCAACACAACUCUUCUGUGACCAGAUGUGUGGGGCUUUUCCCUGACACUAACCAAUUAUCCAACACCAGCUGGAUGACCUAGAAUUCAGUUCAAUUCUGAUGCUGUCUACCUGGAGUUACAGUCAGAUUCUACGGAUUGAGGACCCAGUCCCACAAGACUGGCCCUCACUUUGGAUGCCAAAUACCAGCCUGGGCCUCCUGGUUAUAAAUUGGGGUUCCCGUGACUUCCUCCUUGGGUUCAAUGAUCAUUUGCUAGAAUAGCUCAUAGAAUUCAGAAAAACAUUUCCUUAUGUUUGCCAGUUUAUUAUAAAGAAUAUUACAGAGGAUACAGAUGAGCAGCCAGAUGAAGAUAUAUAUAUAUAUAUAUAGGGUAAGGUAUAUAAGAAGGGUGAGGAGCUUCCAUGCCUUCUCCAGGUGCCUUCUACAUGUUCAGCAAUGUGGAAGCUCACCGGACCCCACCAUUCAGGGACUUUUAUGGAGGUUGCAUCACAUUAGCAUGAUUGAUCAUUAUCUCAAUCUCCAGCCCCUCUUCCUUUCCAGAGGAUGGAGGAUGGAGCUGAAAGUUCCAAGAUUCUAUCAUGGCUUGGUCUUUCUGGUGACCAGCCCUCAACCAGAAACCCACCAGCAGUCACCUUGGUAUAACAAAAUAUGUUCCCAUCACUCAGGAAAUUCCAAGGGACUGGGAGCUCUAUGUCAGGAACCAGAAUGAAAGACCAAAUACUAGAACAGAAGAUGCACCUAGCACCCCUCUCUGCUUAGGAAAUUGUAAGGUUUUAGGAACUCUGUGCCAGGAAUCAGGGAUGAAGAGAUAUAUACAUGUAAAAUAUGUAUUAUAUAUAUUAUAUAUGUAAAAUAUGUAUACCAUAGAUAAUAUAUGUAUGCAAUACAUGUACAUUAAUAUUUAUAUACAUAUAUGUAUAUGUAAAAUAUAUAUAACAUAUAAUAAAAUAUAUAUUAUAUAUAUAUUGGUCACAAUAUAAGGUCUUUUGAGAGACACUAUGUGCACAAGUAAUGAGCUAUCUAUAAGAUGUUCCGUAAGCCCAGGGUGAAUGACAGAAAGUCAUAAUGGGAAUGUCUGCACCAGAUGGUGAAUUAGACUUAGAUAUUAAAGGAAAUUCCAGGGCCCUCAACAGAUUGAGUGGUGCCCACCCACAUUAGUGAGAGCAAUAUUCUUUACCCAGUCGACUGAUAUAAGUGCUAAUCUCUUCCAGAAACAGCCUCACACACACACACACCCAGAAAUAACAUUUUACCAUCUCUUUGGGCAUCCCUUAGUCCAGUUAAAUUGACACAAAAUUAACAUCUCAGUGGCUGAAAACAACCAACACUUAUUUAACACACAGUUCUGCAGGCUGACCAUUUAAGGUGGGCUCAGCAGGAUGGGUCUUCUGUCUUGAAGGUCACUCAUGCAGGUCAUGCUGGGUUGGUUCAUCUCUGCUCCAUAUUGUCUCUUAUCCUCCAGCAGACUAGCCUGGGCUCAUUCUCAUGGAAGUUAGCAGGGUUCCAAAGACAGCAUGAAAGUCUGCAAGGUCUCCUGAGGCUUAGGCUUAGAAUUGGCACAGUGUCACUUCUACCACAUUCUGUUGGUUAAAUCAAGUCCCAAGGCCAGCCCAGACUUAAGGAAGGGGAAAAGAUAUUACCCACUGACCUUUUCAUGAAAGAAUAUGUAAAUUCUUAAUUUUAGAAUUGACAUGCAUGAUUAUCUUGUGCAAUUCCUUCAUUUUAUAAGUGAGGAAAUGAGAUUCAGAGUGAAUGCUUAACUCAUUCAAGAUCACACAGCUUGUUAGUGGAUAUACCUGCUUCCAUCUAGUGAGCUGACCCAACCAGACCAUAUGGUAAAGUAAUGAAACUAGUGAAACUACCCAUCAAGGAGUGCAAGAUGAGUCAUUUGUGCUGAGAAUAAUGAAAAUUUGUUUCAUCCCCUUGCCCAGGGUAAGUCAUGAAAAAUUGCCCAGCCCACACUUCAAGCCACAUUACUGCAAUAUUCCCUCAGUGAAUCUAUUCUUUAUUGAGAAUUAAAUGAUUUAUAGCACAAAGCCCGUAAUUACAGGCAUCUUUUAAAGAUCUUUUCAAGACAAAUGGCACAGGUAUUGAAAUAUUCUGCUAUGAGCCAAUUUGGGUUUUUCAAAACAGGAAAAGGACACAAGGGACAGAAAUUUUUAGUAAAGUUGUCAUUUUUAGUUAAUAUACCAAGAAGAAUGUAGCAGUUCAUUGCAUGCAAUUCAUCACUGUUCUUUCAUAUACAUUUUGAUGAGCUUUCUUAAAUUCUCUUGGUAAAUCACAAAUAUUAUGGGCUUUUUAUUAAAACUUGGGAGCAACUAAGCAUAAAAUGAAAUAUGACUAGUUUCCAAGCCUGGCAUUACCAUUAAUAGGAACAUUUCACCAAUGCAGGUUGCACUUGUAGAUUUUGCUGAGUUAUAUUUUUAUACUUCACAGUUCUGAUUUGGGAUAAGGAAAAAAAAACAAGCUACCCAUUAGGCAGAGUACAUAAUUCAUAACAAGAAACAACAAGGAUCCUUUAUAUGUGCUAUUCUGCAGAGACUACAGUCCUCAGCCACUGUCUGUACCUAACCUCAGGGCUGAAAAGGAGUGUGUAAGCAGUUUAUUAAACAUGUUUGCCUUUUCUUUACAUUUAAAUUUUACCUGGCACUUGAAUUCUCGUGGUUAAAGAUUAACACAAUAUAAACAAACUUGUGAGUAAUGUCCACCUCCAUAUUUCCACCCCCAGCCACCUCCAGUGCCACUUACCUCUCAAGAUGUCUUCAUUUAUGACACAGCAUACAAAGGCUUUUUAAACUUUACAUAAGUGGCAUUCUUUUCUACAUUUUUGCACUUAAAUUCACUUUUUACAUUGAAUCAUAUGUCUCAGAGAUCUUUCCAUAUUGUCACAUAUAGAUGCACAUCUUUUUAAAUGCUACAUGGUAUUUCGUAGUAUAAAAGUAUCAUAAUUUGACUCCCCUCUGUUGGUGGGCCUAUGGAUUAUUUCUGAUUUUUUUAUUACAACUAGUAUUACAGUGAAUAUUCAUGUGUGUCUGUGUGUGUGUAUGUGUGUGUGUGUGUGUGAGAUUGUGCUAAUGCUUAUUUCUAUAGUAUAACUCCUAGAAAUAGAAUUGCUUAGUUAGGGAAAUAGGCAUGCUAAGUUUCAAUAGGCUUUGUCCAAUUGUGUUUCGAAAAGGCUGCACAAAUCAUGUUUUGUGUUCAAUGCAGACCAGAUGGGGUUUGGAAAGCCCUGGAGUCAGACAGAUAGAGUUCAUAUUCAGCCUCCACCACUUCCUAAGUGAUGACGUGGGAAGUUAUUCAAGCUAUUUAUGCCUCAAUUUCCCCACUGCAAACAUAGGACUAAUGCAUGUGCUUAAAGAGUCUGGAGAGUUUUUAAUGAUAGUGAGUUUAAAUGGAAGUGCCUGGUCUAUGAUGGGUUUUCCCAAAAGUAAUAAUCUAAUGUUCAAACAUUCGUACGAAUUAAAAUCCCCUGUUUGCAGCACAGAUUCUAAAGCACCAUCCUCAGAGAUGUGACUGGGAUGAUCAGAAAUACGGCCCUGAGUGUCACACUUUUUAACAAGUUUGCCAGAAGAUUCUUUGAGAAUCACCUCUUUACUAGGUAAGUCUCAAAUCCACUGAUGACUCCUUCCUCCUGAAUGGAAUCCUACUUAAUGCAGACAAACAGACCACGUCCUCCCCUUAUUUCGAACUGUCUCUGUCCUUUGCAGUGUAAGAGUUAGAGUGAACGGGAGAGGAGCAGGGAUGGACAUAGCUAUGUAUAUAAUUUGUUAACCAGCCCUUUGAACUCCAUGGGCUAUGAGUUAUUUUUUGCUUUGAGGCAGAGAAAAUUUUACAUAAUAAGUUUAUAACAAUCAUAAUUGCUCUUGGAAAGAAAUAGUCCCG